This is a non-coding RNA of Myotis davidii, 64 nucleotides long. Lineage: Eukaryota; Metazoa; Chordata; Mammalia; Chiroptera; Vespertilionidae. The record is from Rfam.
GGCCACCUUCUGUGGGGCAAUCAAUCAUGGGGCCCCCAGAUUGAUUGCCCUGCAGAGGGAGGCC